Long non-coding RNA from Anoplophora glabripennis (Asian longhorned beetle), 352 nucleotides. RefSeq lists it as uncharacterized. NCBI's taxonomy places the organism in Eukaryota, Metazoa, Arthropoda, Insecta, Coleoptera, Cerambycidae. The transcript has 3 exons. The record is from RefSeq and is a predicted model, not a curated record.
CGUUUUUGUUUAUCCUUUAAAUUGGUAUGAUAAGUAGUACAUUUAAGCAAUAUCUUAGUGGCAUCAAUAAAUAUACCAGUUUUCAGAAUUUAAAGUGUAAUAAUCGGGGAAUAAUUUUGACAGGGUGAAUCAUAGAUGAACUGAAAAAAAUUAAGUGGUUAAGUCUUAGACUAAGUACCUAAGAUGAAACAUAAUAUAAGAACAUAUGUUUGCAGACACUUCAUUUUCAAGAUGCAAGAUGGUACAUUUUUUUGAAAAAUAUUGUAAUAUGUAGGCGUCCUAAUUAUCGACCAUGUCACAACUGUCGGCAUAGUACUUAAAUUUGUAAAUAAAAUAUGCAAGAAAUAAAUGA